RNAcentral lists this ribosomal RNA (216 nucleotides) under Triticum aestivum (bread wheat). RNAcentral's name for it is "partial small subunit ribosomal RNA". Lineage: Eukaryota; Viridiplantae; Streptophyta; Magnoliopsida; Poales; Poaceae. The record is from RNAcentral.
AUGGCGUCCCGGAGCUGCACCUUCCUGGAGAUCCUGCUCGCCAUCAUCCUGCCGCCGCUCGGUGUCUUCCUCCACUACGGCUGCUGCAGCAUGGAGUUCUGCAUCUGCCUGCUGCUCACCAUCCUGGGCUACAUCCCCGGCAUCAUCUACGCGGUCUACGUGCUUGUCGCGCUCGGCUCGGAGGAGCGGGAUCGGGACUACGACACCCUUGCUUAA